This 395-nucleotide ribosomal RNA is filed under the name uncultured Rhizobium sp. RNAcentral describes it as "bacterial SSU rRNA". It matches the Rfam family "Bacterial small subunit ribosomal RNA", at positions 338 to 750 of the family's 1533-position model. The record is from RNAcentral. Lineage: Bacteria; Pseudomonadati; Pseudomonadota; Alphaproteobacteria; Hyphomicrobiales; Rhizobiaceae.
CCUACGGGAGGCAGCAGUGGGGAAUAUUGGACAAUGGGCGCAAGCCUGAUCCAGCCAUGCCGCGUGAGUGAUGAAGGUCUUAGGAUUGUAAAGCUCUUUCACCGGUGAAGAUAAUGACGGUAACCGGAGAAGAAGCCCCGGCUAACUUCGUGCCAGCAGCCGCGGUAAUACGAAGGGGGCUAGCGUUGUUCGGAAUUACUGGGCGUAAAGCGCACGUAGGCGGAUAUUUAAGUCAGGGGUGAAAUCCCAGAGCUCAACUCUGGAACUGCCUUUGAUACUGGGUAUCUUGAGUACGGAAGAGGUGAGUGGAAUUCCGAGUGUAGAGGUGAAAUUCGUAGAUAUUCGGAGGAACACCAGUGGCGAAGGCGGCUCACUGGUCCAUUACUGACGCUGAG